GUUAAUUGUGUGACAUGUGGUUGUCUAGGUAUACACCAAAGCUCGACGGUUCAAAGAUAUCAAAUCUACCGAUUGACCGAGUAUAUCCGAUAUAUGCUUACUACGGAAAGUUCAAAGAGAAAUCUACUUAUCCAGAUGCAAUUAAUCAUUGCUUGCGAAUCACACAGUUUUUCAUGCAUACUUCCGUGAUAUAGACAUUGCCCAUUCAUGUGGGGAAUUGUUGGGUUUGUAUUUAAUUAAUAAAUCAAAUACUUAAAAGAUGGUGAAAGGGAAAUGAAGGGAAAUGAAAUUUUUGAGUGAAAUUUUAAGUUCCCCCUUGGCAUAUGGACUUUGUCCCGCAUUGGAAGAUGAAGAGAUCUUUUUUGGGUAUAUAAGCUAUUGCUAUCCUUCUAGCUCUUAAAGAGUUGAGAAGAAAGCAAGCCUUGCACUUUCAUCAU
Molecule: long non-coding RNA, 437 nt
Filed under: Nicotiana benthamiana
Lineage: Eukaryota; Viridiplantae; Streptophyta; Magnoliopsida; Solanales; Solanaceae
Description: long non-coding RNA (NBEN_LNC027529)
Source: RNAcentral